RNAcentral lists this ribosomal RNA (253 nucleotides) under uncultured bacterium. RNAcentral describes it as "partial 16S ribosomal RNA". It matches the Rfam family "Bacterial small subunit ribosomal RNA", at positions 524 to 776 of the family's 1533-position model. The record is from RNAcentral.
UACGUAGGGUGCGAGCGUUGUCCGGAAUUAUUGGGCGUAAAGGGCUCGUAGGCGGUUUGUCGCGUCGGGAGUGAAAACCAUGGGCUUAACUCAUGGCUUGCUUCCGAUACGGGCAGACUAGAGGCAUGCAGGGGAGAACGGAAUUCCUGGUGUAGCGGUGAAAUGCGCAGAUAUCGGGAGGAACACCGGUGGCGAAGGCGGUUCUCUGGGCCUGUACUGACGCUGAGGAGCGAAAGCGUGGGGAGCGAACAGG